Siniperca chuatsi (mandarin fish) is the source of this 1007-nucleotide long non-coding RNA. RefSeq lists it as uncharacterized. The transcript has 3 exons. NCBI's taxonomy places the organism in Eukaryota, Metazoa, Chordata, Actinopteri, Centrarchiformes, Sinipercidae. The record is from RefSeq and is a predicted model, not a curated record.
GGACACGUGACCAGGCUCAUUUGCAUCUGGACAGGUAGGCAGGUGAGCGUGGGAGAAAGUAGUUUCAGUUAUUCCGCGAACACAUCGGCCCCUGACUGGAUUAUGAGUCGGUUUCCCGGAGCAUCUCGCUUGGAACCAGGAGUCACCACAGGGCCCGUCGGUCAUCUCACCUGGACGCUCAAUAACCGGCAGAUGCGCCACUGUUAUUUGUAUCUAACUAAUACUGUGUUGGUCCAGAUGUAAGAACACAGGCUUCACAAUCCUGAUCGAUACUUUAAAUUCCUCAGGGAGCUGUCUGUCACCAUGGCGAUGCAGGUGUUAAUCCCACCUACAGUGUCGGUGUUUGUGUUCGCCGUGCUGUCUCUGCUCAGCUUGGCUCUGCUGCUGCUGCUGUGUGUAAUCAGGAAGAAAAGAAGGCUGGAGGGAACAUACAGGCCCAGUGCAGAGGAGAAAAAACAGACAGGAGCAGGAUCUGAAAAACCUGGCCUGCCUCUACCGUUGCCCAAAGAAGAACGCCUGAUAUGAUGAACGAUUUUAUAUAUAUAUAUAUAUAUAUAUAUAUAUAUAUAUAUAUAUAUAUAUAUAUAUAUAUAUUAUAUAUAUAUAUUGUCUUUUGCACCAGAAAUCUUCAGACAUACUAAACACUGUUUGUGCCGCACCUUUUCAUUCUUGGUGAUAACAAAUGGACUGAUCAGUCUGCCAAUUCUAUCACGUUUCACUGCAUGAAAAGAGGAAAAGAGUUUGUCUUAUUCCCUUAUCUAAAUAAGUCACUCCCUUUAUUCUGCCACAUCUGGCACGUGAGCUGAAAUAUAUUUUGUAUUUGUACAGAGGUUAGUCUAUUUUUAUUGUACUGUGUGUUCUGUGUAUUUAUAUAUAAAACGUUGUGUUUUGCACUGUUUCCAGUUAUGAAGGAUAUUGCUUAAAACAAUGACAAUGACUGUGAUGCACUUAAGGAUCAGUAUAGUACACAAGGUGUUCUGUUAAUAAACCAGGAAUGUGCACACCCA